UACGUAGGGUGCGAGCGUUAAUCGGAAUAACUGGGCGUAAAGAGUGCGUAGGCGGAUAAACAAGUUAGAUGUGAAACCCCUGAGCUUAACUUGGGACUGGCAUUUAAGACUGUGUAUCUAGAGUCUGUAAGAGGGUGGUAGAAUUCCGAGUGUAGCAGUGAAAUGCGUAGAGAUUCGGAGGAAUAUCAAUGGCGAAGGCAGCCACCUGGGAUAAGACUGACGCUGAGGCACGAAAGCGUGGGGAGCAAACAGG
Molecule: ribosomal RNA, 253 nt
Filed under: uncultured bacterium
Lineage: Bacteria
Description: partial 16S ribosomal RNA
Rfam family: Bacterial small subunit ribosomal RNA
Source: RNAcentral